CCCUACGGGAGGCAGCAGUGAGGAAUAUUGGUCAAUGGGCGCGAGCCUGAACCAGCCAAGUAGCGUGAAGGAUGACUGCCCUACGGGUUGUAAACUUCUUUUAUAAAGGAAUAAAGUGUGGCACGUGUGCCUUUUUGUAUGUACUUUAUGAAUAAGGAUCGGCUAACUCCGUGCCAGCAGCCGCGGUAAUACGGAGGAUGCGAGCGUUAUCCGGAUUUAUCGAGUUUAAAGGGUGCGUAGGCGGGCUUUUAAGUCAGCGGUAAAAAUUCGGGGCUCAACCCCGUCCGGCCGUUGAAACUGGGGGC
RNAcentral lists this ribosomal RNA (305 nucleotides) under uncultured bacterium. RNAcentral's name for it is "bacterial SSU rRNA". It matches the Rfam family "Bacterial small subunit ribosomal RNA", at positions 337 to 640 of the family's 1533-position model. The record is from RNAcentral.